RNAcentral lists this long non-coding RNA (1443 nucleotides) under Lathyrus oleraceus (garden pea). RNAcentral describes it as "Pisum sativum (pea) long non-coding RNA (PSAT_LNC013021)". The record is from RNAcentral. Lineage: Eukaryota; Viridiplantae; Streptophyta; Magnoliopsida; Fabales; Fabaceae.
AAUUGAGAGAGAGCAUUCAUUUGCUCCUCUCAUUCUCUCUCUUCAUCUGGCAAACACCAGAGUUGCUCUGCAACUCUUUCUUCCUUCUCCAUCCCACUCACGGCCGAACCUGCUAGAGAAGACGGUGGCGGUCGGCCAAUCGCGGCGGCGCCGCCUUCUUCUCCGGCGACGUCAACCCUAAACCAAAAAAACCAAACACAUACCCCACCUAUUUUUUGCUCCUGAAUCCAAAUCUGAACUUGUUUCUCUCAAAAUCUGCUUCAAUCAACCGGAUCGAUACUCCCAAAAGAAAAACACAAACCUAAACCCUAACUCAAAUUAACUCUCACGCCCAAACGAAUCCUAACUCACUCUAACCACAACAAUAGGCAAACACGUGGAAAAAAAACCUAACCCUAAGUUGUGAAAUUCGUUCCUCUAAAGUCACGAUUUGAAGAAAUUAUGAAAGGGGUUUCAAUCAACAUGGAGAGGCAAAGACGAUGGUGCGAAAAUUUAAACGGGGAUGAAAGUUUUGCUUGGUCAAGGUUGAUCGUCGGUGAUGCUCCCCUGCUCCGUUUAAGAUAAGUCUUCCUCUAGUUCUUUGUUUGGGAUGCUAUUGUUGCUUUAUUCGAAUGUUAGGGUUUUGAGGUUCAACAAGUUAUUUAUGUUUUCUUCUCCUUCGAUUCUCUUGUUGGAUGGUGUUUUUGUUUUUUUAGGGUUUGGUGUUAAUAGAAAAUAUUUGUGUCUGCUUCCUCCUGGAUUCUCAAAGCCGUGUGUUUUGUUGUUUUUGGUUUGAUGUUAACAAAAAAUAUUUUUGAUAACUUCUUCUUAGAUUUUCCAGACCGUCCUUUUUCUCUACUGUUAAUCUCUGUUUUAUAUCUAUGAUGAUUUUUUUUGGGUUUAGAGAUAACUUGUUAGGUUAUCUCUUUUUCCAGAUUUUGUGGGAUGAUUAUUCUAUGGAUUUAGAGUUGUUUGGAUUGGAUAAUGGAACAUAUUCUUGGGUGUUCACUUUGGUUCACUGUGCAAAAUAUUAAUCCAUUUCAACUUAUUAAUUUAUCUUUCAGUUUCCAUAAGUGCUUAUUUGAUAAGCCUUUUUAAUCUCUGAGUUGGUUUUACAGGUUUGUGAAAAGGUGAAUAGAUGUUGAUUGAGAUGGAUUUGGGGCUCUGUAAUUUCAACAGAUGUUUUGGAAAAGUCUUUGAAAGUUUGCUGCUCAACCUGCUGAGUUUACAACUGUAUUAAAAAAAAAUUAAAAGUUAUUUCUGAUGUAACAGAACUUUUGGAUAAAGUGUAUUUGGAUCAUGUAUUGGCUGUUUGUAACAUGUAAAUUAACAAAUGAACUUUUGGAUUAUUAUGUGAAUUUUUGGAUUAUCAUGUGAAUUUUGGAUUAUCAUGUGAAUUUUGGAUUAUUUGGAAUAUUUUGGACUAUUUGGAAUAUUUUUAAACUUUGAAAUUUAUUUGUGCAA